RNAcentral lists this ribosomal RNA (119 nucleotides) under Helianthus annuus (common sunflower). Lineage: Eukaryota; Viridiplantae; Streptophyta; Magnoliopsida; Asterales; Asteraceae. The record is from RNAcentral.
GGUUGCGAUCAUACCAGCACUAAUGCACUGGAUCCCAUCAGAACUCCGCAGUUAAGCGUGCCUGGGCGAGAGUAGUACUAGGAUGGGUGACCCCUGGGAAGUCCUCGUGUUGCAACUCC